GGACUACUGGGGUAUCUAAUCCCGUUCGCUCCCCUAGCUUUCGUCCCUCAGCGUCAGAAAAGCCCCAGUAAGCCGCUUUCGCCACCGGUGUUCCUGAUGAUAUCAACGCAUUUCACCGCUCCACCAUCAGUUCCGCUUACCUCUGACUCUCUCUAGCGAAGUAGUUUUAAGCGCUAUUCCUCAGUUGAGCUGAGGGAUUUCACGCCUAACUUUCUCCACCGCCUACGGACUCUGUAAGCCCAGUGAAUCCGAAUAACGUUCGGGUGGUACGUCUUACCGCGGCUGCUGGCAC
This 292-nucleotide ribosomal RNA is filed under the name uncultured Planctomycetota bacterium. RNAcentral's name for it is "uncultured planctomycete partial 16S ribosomal RNA". Lineage: Bacteria; Pseudomonadati; Planctomycetota. The record is from RNAcentral.